This 236-nucleotide ribosomal RNA is filed under the name uncultured bacterium. RNAcentral describes it as "partial 16S ribosomal RNA". It matches the Rfam family "Bacterial small subunit ribosomal RNA", at positions 100 to 334 of the family's 1533-position model. The record is from RNAcentral.
CGGGACGGGUGAGUAACGCGUGGGUAACCUGCCUCAUACAGGGGGAUAACAGUUAGAAAUGACUGCUAAUACCGCAUAAGACCACAGCACCGCAUGGUGCGGGGGUAAAAACUCCGGUGGUAUGAGAUGGACCCGCGUCUGAUUAGCUAGUUGGUAAGGUAACGGCUUACCAAGGCGACGAUCAGUAGCCGACCUGAGAGGGUGACCGGCCACAUUGGGACUGAGACACGGCCCAG